Molecule: ribosomal RNA, 500 nt
Filed under: uncultured Glomeromycotina
Lineage: Eukaryota; Fungi; Glomeromycota
Description: partial small subunit ribosomal RNA
Rfam family: Eukaryotic small subunit ribosomal RNA
Source: RNAcentral
CCAAUAGCGUAUAUUAAAGUUGUUGCAGUUAAAAAGCUCGUAGUUGAAUUUCGGGAUCAAUAUGUCGGUCGUGCCUCCGGUACGUACUGGCGUUAUUGGUUUCUCCCUUCUGAAGAACCACGAUGUCAUUAAUUUGGUGUCAUGGGGAAUCAGGACUGUUACUUUGAAAAAAUUAGAGUGUUUAAAGCAGGCUCACGCUUGAAUACAUUAGCAUGGAAUAAUGAAAUAGGACGUUUGAUUCUAUUUUGUUGGUUUCUAGGAUCGAUGUAAUGAUUAAUAGGGAUAGUUGGGGGCAUUAGUAUUCAAUUGUCAGAGGUGAAAUUCUUGGAUUUAUUGAAGACUAACUACUGCGAAAGCAUUUGCCAAGGAUGUUUUCAUUAAUCAAGAACGAAAGUUAGGGGAUCGAAGACGAUCAGAUACCGUCGUAGUCUUAACCAUAAACUAUGCCGACUAGGGAUCGGAUGAUGUUAAUUUUUUAAUGACUCAUUCGGCGCCUUACG